GACGAACGCUGGCGGCGUGCUUAACACAUGCAAGUCGAACGGAAAGGCCUGCUUUCCCUUGUGGAUUGCGGGUACUCGAGUGGCGAACGGGUGAGUAACACGUGAGUGAUCUGCCCCCAACUUGGGUAUAAGCCUGGGAAACUGGGUCUAAUUCCCGAUAGGACUGCAGGGUGGUGCCUGUUGUGGAAAACGAUUUUCUAGUGGUUGGGGAUGAGCUCGCGGCCUAUCAGCUUGUUGGUGGGGUAAUGGCCUACCAAGGCGGCGACGGGUAGCCGGCCUGAGAGGGUGGACGGCCACAUUGGGACUGAGAUACGGCCCAGACUCCGACGGGAGGCAGCAGUGGGGAAUAUUGCACAAGGGGCGGAAGCCUGAUGCAGCGACGCCGCGUGGGGGAUGACGGCCUUCGGGUGGUAAACUCCUUUCGACCGCGAGGAAGCCACCUGGUUGGAAGGGUGGUGACGGUAGUGGUAGAAGAAGCACCGGCUAACUACGUG
Molecule: ribosomal RNA, 494 nt
Filed under: uncultured bacterium
Lineage: Bacteria
Description: partial 16S ribosomal RNA
Rfam family: Bacterial small subunit ribosomal RNA
Source: RNAcentral